UACAGAGGUCUCAAGCGUUGUUCGGAAUUAUUGGGCGUAAAGGGCGCGUAGGCGGCGCGACAAGUCACCUGUGAAACCUCUGGGCUUAACCCAGAGCCUGCAGGCGAAACUGUCGUGCUGGAGUAUGGGAGAGGUGCGUGGAAUUCCCGGUGUAGCGGUGAAAUGCGUAGAGAUCGGGAAGAACACCCGUGGCUAAGGCGGCUCUCUAGUACGUGACUGACGCUGAGACGCGAAAGCGUGGGGAGCGAACAGG
This 253-nucleotide ribosomal RNA is filed under the name uncultured bacterium. RNAcentral's name for it is "partial 16S ribosomal RNA". It matches the Rfam family "Bacterial small subunit ribosomal RNA", at positions 524 to 776 of the family's 1533-position model. The record is from RNAcentral.